Molecule: long non-coding RNA, 407 nt
Filed under: Nicotiana tabacum (common tobacco)
Lineage: Eukaryota; Viridiplantae; Streptophyta; Magnoliopsida; Solanales; Solanaceae
Description: long non-coding RNA (NTAB_LNC013742)
Source: RNAcentral
UCUAAACCAAUAAAUUCAUUAAACCUAAUAAUUUUAGGCAUAAAAACAUCCAAAUAGUAGCCUACAUUCAAGUUUAAAAACAAAAUAUAAACUUGUCUCUCACAAUCAAGUUUACCAAUCAACCGAAACCAUACACCUAAACUACUACAAAUCAGAUUCAGUUUUGUUCAUCCUCAUCGUCAGAUAGAUCAUGCCCAUGCUUUCAUGAAUUUCUGUAUUUUAACAAAUGUUUCAAAUUGUGAGUCCAACUGUUGCUUCAAAUCACAAUUUUCUCUCUCUCAUAUCUUCCAUCUGUUCUUGAUUUUGAGAAUAAAAAGAAUUGGGUAAGAGUGAGUUUGGAUGACCUGUAGGUCGACUGUUUACUCCACGCGCUGUCUCUGUCCACAAUGAAGCCAUAUCAUCAGGUG